UAAAGUUGAAAUAUCGACAUGUGCUGGA
This 28-nucleotide non-coding RNA is filed under the name Bombyx mori (domestic silkworm). The record is from RNAcentral. Lineage: Eukaryota; Metazoa; Arthropoda; Insecta; Lepidoptera; Bombycidae.